AAGAAAUGGACAAACAGACUCCGUCGUUCUCAAUGAGAGGGGGCUGAAACAAAAAAUCGUUUCCUGUUCAUCGUACUGCGCAGACUCAAACUCAUUUUGUGACGUUGGCCGCCCUGAACAUUGCUGUAACUCGUCUGAUAGAUGUUCAUACAGAUAUUUUGCCAUUCGACCUCGACUGACUGCGAUUUCUUGGAUCUUAGUUUACCAGUCAGACCACUACACCUUUGCCAGCACCACCACCCAGCAAGCUUCAUCAACUCCAGCCAUGCCGAGUUUACCAGUCAGACCUACACCUCCGUCAAAUUCGCUCACAACGCUGCCAAUAACACCCCAGCAAGAUUUUUACAGACUUGUUCUGCAGCACUUCCGAACAAUUGAGGAGGAGCUGGGGUAAAGCAGCAGGUGGCUGUGAACACAUCUAUGCUGCAGAAGCUAGGUGGUGGUGGUGUGGCGGAUCUUGGCCUCGUGGAGGACAACAACAGGCCAUUGAGUAAUGUUGAGGACCUGGACGAGUUGGAGAGGCGGCUUGCAUCCGAUGUGGACCUGAAAAAUCAACUGGUGAACAUACUUGGGAGGGAAAACCACCGAGAUGCUGUUAAGAGGAUGCUGAGCCGGGCUUUGAGGAGGUCCCUGGCGCUCCAAAUUAAUUAGACUGGUGCAGCAGGAAAGGUGGCUUUUAAGUCCUUACACCUGAAGAGUGUGUUGCAUAUUAAUAUCAUUAUUAAAAAUAAUUUUAAUAAAUUGUUUAAGCAUGUAGAAGAAAUAAAGCAUGUAAAUGAGCAUGUAAAAGAAAUAAAUAAACAAAAUGUAUUGAACCUAAUACUAUGUGUGGUGAGUCUGUGUGAUAGUUGCUGAGGAUAAAUGUUUUUAUAUUGGAUUAUUAAAUUACAGAAUACAUUUAUAGGUUUCUCAUCAGCAGGCACUGUCUUCACCUUAGUAAAUUUGGUAACUUUGGUAAGCCCUGUAAAUAAUUGUAAAUUGUUCUGAUUGAGGGCAAAUGGAAAGUGUUAUAAUGUAUUAUUGCUAUAUUUUAGUACAUCAUUUUAAUUAUUAAGGCCAUAAAUAAGGCCAAUUAGAAGCUGGUGGGUAGUAAGCGGCAAAAGGGUGGCCCUUUAUCUGGAGCCGCUUCUGAGCCGCCGGUGGACCGCUAGAGAACCGAUGAGCAAAACUCCAGCGGGCCACUGGUGGGUACCGCCGUUGGACCGCCAACU
This is a long non-coding RNA of Sardina pilchardus (European sardine), 1211 nucleotides long. RefSeq lists it as uncharacterized. The record is from RefSeq and is a predicted model, not a curated record. Lineage: Eukaryota; Metazoa; Chordata; Actinopteri; Clupeiformes; Clupeidae. The transcript has 5 exons.